Molecule: ribosomal RNA, 497 nt
Filed under: uncultured bacterium
Lineage: Bacteria
Description: partial 16S ribosomal RNA
Rfam family: Bacterial small subunit ribosomal RNA
Source: RNAcentral
GAUGAACGCUGGCGGCGUGCCUAAUACAUGCAAGUCGAGCGAACAGAUCAGGAGCUUGCUCCUCCGACGUUAUCGGCGGACGGGUGAGUAACACGUGGAUAACCUACCUAUAAGACUGGGAUAACUUCGCGAAACCGGAGCUAAUACCGGAUAAUAUAUUGAACUGCAUGGUUCCAUAGUGAAAGACGGUUUUGCUGUCACUUAUAGAUGGACCCGCACCGCAUUAGCUAGUUGGUAAGGUAACGGCUUACCAAGGCAACGAUGCGUAACCGACCCGAAAGCGUGGUCGGCCAGACGGGAAGUGAGACUGGGUCCAGACUCCUGCGGGGAGCAGCAGUAGGGAAUCUUACGCGAUGCGCGAGAGCCGAACGGAGCAACGCCGGGGGAGGGAUGAAGGUCUUAGGAUCGUAGAACUCUGUUAUUAGGAGAGAUCAAAUGUGUAAGUACCUAUGCACGUCUUGACGGUACCUAAUCAGAAAGCCACGGCUAACUACGUG